Molecule: microRNA precursor, 136 nt
Filed under: Hordeum vulgare
Lineage: Eukaryota; Viridiplantae; Streptophyta; Magnoliopsida; Poales; Poaceae
Description: microRNA MIR1122
Rfam family: MIR1120/MIR1122 microRNA precursor family
Source: RNAcentral
UAUCUACUCCCUCCGUCCCAAAAUUCUUGUCUUAAAUUUGUCUAUAUAUGAAUGUAUCUAGUCACAUUUUAGCAUGCAGAUACAUCCAUUUCUAGACAAAUCUAAGACAUGAAUUUUGGGACGGUGGGAGUAUAAU